AGAGCAAGAGCCCGGAGAUGGAUUCUGAGACACGAAUCCAGGCCCUACGGGGUGCAGCAGGCGCGAAAACUUUACAAUGCUGGCAACAGCGAUAAGGGAACCUCGAGUGCCAGGUUACAAAUCUGGCUGUCGAGAUGCCUAAAAAGCAUUUCAUAGCAAGGGCCGGGCAAGACCGGUGCCAGCCGCCGCGGUAACACCGGCGGCUCGAGUGGUAACCGUUAUUAUUGGGUCUAAAGGGUCUGUAGCCGGCCGGAUAAGUCUCUUGAGAAAUCUGGCAGCUUAACUGUCAGGCUUUCAGGAGAUACUGUCUGGCUCGAGGCCGGGAGAGGUGAGAGGUACUUCAGGGGUAGGGGUGAAAUCUUGUAAUCCUUGAAGGACCACCAGUGGCGAAGGCGUCUCACCAGAACGGACCUGACGGCAAGGGACGAAAGCUAGGGGCACGAACCGGAUUAGAUACCCGGGUAGUCCUAGCCGUAAACGAUACUCGCUAGGUGUCGGCCACGGUGCGACCGUUGUCGGUGCCGUAGGGAAGCCGUGAAGCGAGCCACCUGGGAAGUACGGCCGCAAGGCUGAAACUUAAAGGAAUUGGCGGGGGAGCACCACAACGGGUGGAGCUUGCGGUUUAAUUGGAUUCAACGCCGGAAAGGGC
RNAcentral lists this ribosomal RNA (649 nucleotides) under uncultured archaeon. Its description in RNAcentral is "bacterial SSU rRNA". It matches the Rfam family "Archaeal small subunit ribosomal RNA", at positions 279 to 928 of the family's 1478-position model. The record is from RNAcentral.